GAGCGGCGAACGGGUGAGUAACACGUGAGUAACCUGCCCUCAACUUCGGGAUAAGCCUGGGAAACCGGGUCUAAUACCGGGUAGGACCUGGUGCGGCAUCGCGCUGGGUGGAAAGAUUUUUUGGUUGGGGAUGGGCUCGCGGCCUAUCAGCUUGUUGGUGGGGUAGUGGCCUACCAAGGCGACGACGGGUAGCCGGCCUGAGAGGGCGACCGGCCACACUGGGACUGAGACACGGCCCAGACUCCUACGGGAGGCAGCAGUGGGGAAUAUUGCGCAAUGGGCGGAAGCCUGACGCAGCGACGCCGCGUGGGGGAUGACGGCCUUCGGGUUGUAAACCUCUUUCAGCAGGGACGAAGUUGACGUGUACCUGUAGAAGAAGCGCCGGCUAACUACGUGCCAGCAGCCGCGGUAAUACGUAGGGCGCAAGCGUUGUCCGGAAUUAUUGGGCGUAAAGAGCUCGUAGGUGGCUUGUCGCGUCUGCCGUGAAAGCCCAUGGCUUAACUGUGGGGUCUGCGGUGGAUACGGGCUGGCUAGAGGUAGGUAGGGGCAAGCGGAAUUCCU
RNAcentral lists this ribosomal RNA (561 nucleotides) under Streptosporangium sp. 337G10. RNAcentral's name for it is "bacterial SSU rRNA". It matches the Rfam family "Bacterial small subunit ribosomal RNA", at positions 93 to 671 of the family's 1533-position model. The record is from RNAcentral. Lineage: Bacteria; Bacillati; Actinomycetota; Actinomycetes; Streptosporangiales; Streptosporangiaceae.